GUAGAUUUCCUCAUAAUGACCUGGGGCUUGCUCCUCUUCACAAUCCUUGUGUCCAUCUUUGGUGAGGGAGAUUCAUUGGGUGUAUGGGGAAAAAAUCUGAUAUGAAGCAAAAUGUUUGAUGUAGAUUAAUGUGCUGAGCAGUUCCCUGCCUUGCUUCCUUCCAGGUCCCAGUGUCCAGCAGUUACAGACUUUGAAGGACCCAGAAUUUGUGGCACCAGGUGGGACAGUCACCAUGUCUUGCAGGUUCAACAGUGGAAACAUCGGUGAUGGCAACUACCCUUGGUGGGCACAGAAAAAACCUGGGAGUAGACCCCGACUGAUAAUGUACGACACCAGCACCCGAGCGUCUGACGUUCCAGCCCGUUUCUCUGGGUCUCGAUCGGGGAAUGUGAUGUCCCUGACCAUCACGGGGGCCCUUCUGGAAGAUGAAGCUGCUUAUUACUGUGUUGUAUGGACUGGGAGUCAGUG
This is a non-coding RNA of Podarcis lilfordi (Lilford's wall lizard), 468 nucleotides long. The record is from the annotation of a GenBank genome assembly. Lineage: Eukaryota; Metazoa; Chordata; Lepidosauria; Squamata; Lacertidae.